Colias croceus (clouded yellow) is the source of this 3911-nucleotide long non-coding RNA. RefSeq lists it as uncharacterized. The transcript is spliced from 3 exons. NCBI's taxonomy places the organism in Eukaryota, Metazoa, Arthropoda, Insecta, Lepidoptera, Pieridae. The record is from RefSeq and is a predicted model, not a curated record.
CGGGUCGCUGCGCACGCCGCUCGCGCGCACGCCUGUCACGUUCAACGCGUCGCAGGUCGCCAAAGCGAAACUGCAAGCGGCGCUAUCAGAGGAGAGCGGCAGCGUGGUGGGCAGCGUGGGCGCGGUGAGCGGGCUGAGCGGGGGCGCGGGGGCGGCGGGCGCGGGGGCGGGGGGCGCCGGCCGCUACUGGGCGCCGGGCAAGCUGCCGCACCUGCCCGCGCCCUCCUAGCGCCCGCCGUCCGCGCGCCGCCUGGCGAAGGUGUCGUCGCUAGAGACGCCGCGGCGCGCGGCGGGCGGGCCCGCGCGGCUCGACCUCGAGCGGCGCAGCCUCGACCUCGAGCGCGAGCUGCGCGCCGAGCGCGACUCCGACGCGUCGCUCGACGAGCGCGACCACCUCGUGUGAUGUGCCGCCUGCCACAUGCUGCUCUCAGCGCCAUCUAGCGGCGAACGCGCGAACUGAACAACGCGCCCGUUUUGAGCACAGCGCCAUCUAGCGGCGAGUGCGCGAACAGGGCGAAGUGCCCACGUUGAGCAUAGCGCCAUCUAGUAGCAAGUGUGCGAACUAAACGACGUGCCCGCGUUGAGAACAGCGCCAUCUAGCGGCCCGGACAGUGAUAGUGAUCUGUGCUAGUGAAGUUUGGAAUCCGCGCGCUUUUCUACGUCACCGUUGCCGCGUUUUUGUUUUUAUUCUCUAAAAUAAACUACUCUAUGUAGUGACCUUUUGUAUCGUUUAAUACUCGUGUAAUGUUCAUUUUAAGCUGAAACGAAUUGAAUUGUGACGGCAAUUCAUCGGUCGAAUGAUAUAAUAUUAAUAUUGUAGGUAAAUACACAGUGCUGUAUUUUUGUCUUAUUCGAUUCGAUGGUUGUGCGAAAUUGUGCUCGUUGUACGUAUACUGAUUUACAUGUUCCUAAUUAAUAGUGUACUCCUUGUGUAAUAUGAAACGUGAAGUUGUAAAAUUGACUACAUUGCUCGCAGUAGAAAAGAUAAAUAUAGUGUAGCUAUACCUUUUGUCCUUUUUGGGUUAAGAAUAAUCUAGUUAGUUUUACGACUUCACUUUCCGCGGCAACGAUGGCGGAGAAUGAUCGUGAGACAUUUUCGCUUGACGGCGUGCGUUUAAAAGAAUCUAGUGCGUAGUGGCAAAAUUGAUCUCAAUAAAUAAAAUAAAGACUACGAAAUGAAACGUAAAUAAAUACGAAAAAAUUUAGUGGAAUUGUGCGAGUAACCUAUCGUGUUUUACUGUUUUCUAUGUAUUAUACAUGUAACGUAAGGACAUUGUGUCGUUGUUAGUGCCUGCUAAGUCUGGUUUAGUGUUAGGGACCUCGACCACUGUUUAAGGAUACUCUUUAAACAAACCGAACGACUUGAAAACUUUCGAGAGUUUAAUUUUUCCCGGCUUCACGCUUAACGUACAAAUGAAUUCUUAGAAUCUUGCACUGAUGAUACGCAAGAUUUUAACAGAAUUUAAAAUUUAACUCGAGUGCGAUAAAGCGAUUACUUUUUAAUUUUUAUAUAAUAAAAAAAAAAUUAUCUCUCGAAACAUUAGUUUAAGUGAACUAUUAAUGUGUGUGACUAAACAAUUUUCUACUGAAACAAAAAUGUUUUAAUUUUAAUUUUAUAACUCGACUUCUUGUAGUUAUAUCCGAGUGAUGUAUUUCGCUGUAUUUCAUAGUGAAACGGUGACCUUAUUAUUGGAAUUCUUAAUGGAUAUAAGGGUAGAUAGAUACAAGGCCUUCUAGUUAAGGAGCUAAGCGAUUUUGUUUGUGAAUAGGCAUAGUUGUGAUUUUAAUGUUGUAUACAGUGGAUUGUAGACGAGUAUUUUAAUUGUAUCGGCCAUUGUGUAUCAAAUGAAUGUGUUAAAUAGUAUCUGUUCUGGUUUAGACUGUUUUGAAAUUAUAAUUCAUAUAUUAUGUUGAUGUAAUUAUGUAAGGAUGUAUUACGUCAUUAUCUAAAAGCAGACUGUCCUUAGAAAAAUAGUUUUGAAAUAAUUUAAACCAGAUAUAUAACUAGUACAUAAACGGCAUUUUAUUUAUCAUAACACAAUGUUCCUUUUGUAAUGUACAGUCAAACAUAUCAAUGCAUGAACAAACGUGAAAUGAACAAUAAUUGAUUUUAUGUUGACUUUACUUGUGCAAUUAUUAUUAAGUGAUGUUUAACAGGUUUUUCUUAUUUUGUAUUUCAUUGCAUGAAAGAUGCAUAAUACGACGGAACGGCGUUGCAAAUAUUGAUAAAAAAAAUAGCAAUAGACAGAAUUGAGUAGUUAAUGAAGCUGUUGUUACUUUCAAUUGCAAUGCCGACGUCGUAUUGUGUCAGAUAUAUCGAGAUCUUUUAUGAAUAAAAGUGUUUCACCCCCGUGCAAUAUGUUUGACAAAAAUAUAAUUUUUUUUAUUGCUUAAUUUGUCUUCCUACGAUAAUUGUACCAAUUACAAAGGCCUAUUAUCUGUAUAAUCGUAAUGCAUUUUUAUUUUCGUUUAGUUUAUAGUCGAUUUCUUUUUCAUUAUGUAUGUGAUUACAUAGUUAUAAUAGUUUAUAAAUGAAAUGCACAUGAUUAUUGUGAUUUUGUAUAUGCGAGAAUUUGUGAGGCGAAAAUUACCAGUGUUGAAAAUGAAUAAAACAAUGUGGUCAAGGAAUUUGGAAAGUGUUUUCAUAUUGGAGUUUAUUUUGCAUUUAUAUUAUUAUUUUUUAUGAUUUUGGUCCUUCGAGUAUUACGCAAUAUUAGUACGCACAAUCAGUAUGAAGACAUUUAUUUUACGUUUAAUAGAACAUUUAAGAAGCUAUUAACCAAAUAAAAGUGUUUAACUGAUUGGAUGUGUGUAUAAAUGGUAAUUCUAAUCUACUAGUAAAUUAAAAUGUACUGUGAUCAUUUAGAUUUAAAAAUAACUUUAAAUUUCUAUCAUUGGUAAUUUUCGUAAAUAUAAUAUGCGGUUAAAGUUGUUUUGGAAAUUUAUGAUUAAUCGCGUGUUUUUAAAAUUGACAGUAACACUAUACUCAACGUAGCAUUUUUCGGGUAUCAUUUAAUUUGACUGCCUUUCGUUUAUUAUGCUCAAUAGAUUGUAGUGGUCAAAUAAACUCGUUUAAGUACAGACAGGUGGCGAUACUAGUUUAUUUUUACCCAAAUAGCGGUUUAAGGUAUAUAGUCAAUUACUAUAGCUUAUUUUAACUGGAAUGCUGGUUGAUUGCGGUUCGUAACCGAAUAAAUGACGGUAGUUUUUGAAAACUCAUUGGCAAGACUGCAGCGACAUCUAGAGUGAUUCGUCCGAAUAACAAGGUUUUGUUUGCACUGUAGAAUAUUGAAAAUUGUAAAUAAUUGUUGUAUGAAUUAAUUUUCUUACAGUUAAUGGAUAAGUUUGGAUUUUUUUAGUAUUAUUUACUACUCAAACACCUUUUUACCUACCAUCUUGUCAUCUCUCUGCUUGCGUAUUCCGUCCAAUGAUCUACUCUUGCCAUUGACAGUUCUUUUUCUGUAACUCUUAGAUAUUAAUGUUCACGUCUAGAGUAGGGAAUGUGUGCCGUCAAUAAACUCUUUCGACACGAGAAUAUAUCCGAUUAGUUAAGUACAAACACUUCUAGAGACAGUAAAGGUUUCCACCGGGAUGGUUCACUCAGAUGGCGCCACAGUCGGACUCCAUCUUGGCAUUGAUCAGUAUUAAAAUAAUAUUUCGUUGAAAGUCUCGCAUCGCUACUGCCAAGUACAUUUAAUUAAUUAUAAGUUAAAUUUGCUAUAUUUACAUAUAGGAAAAGUCUAGUUACUAUUAUUAUAUAGCUUUUGUUCGACCGCUGCAUUUCUCUUAUACCCUAGUUAUUUUGUAACGUUGUGUUCUCAUUUUGUAUCUAAAGCUGCUGUUUCACGCGUUGAAACUCGUAGCGACAAUGUGAAUACUAUACAAUUUAAAUAAAUGAAUUAUAUAAUGAA